CUAUUGGUCAAUUAUGCAGGCCCUUUUAAAAUUCCAUGCUCAGCUGUUGUGCUGCAUAAGUAAUUAUUUCCUAUUGGGUGUUACAUGACUACUAACUAUAAAUCUUAGUGAAUAACCCACUUGUUUUUUCUGUUCUGACAGAUGCUCCCUAGGAAUGCUUGUUAAAGGGGAGAAGUACUUCUGUCUGCAUCUAGUGAAAUCAGCUCUAUAACAGCUGAAAAAAUAAACUGCUCUGGCCAGGGAUUACACAUCCUGAUUCUCACAGAGUCUUCCAUACAACGUCUUGCAAGGCAUAAGCAGGAAGCAGAAACAGAGCACAUAAAACUUACAAAAAGAAAGCUGAUGAAUGGACCUGAGUGUGUGGCCCAGAGUUCCCUGCAAUAUCAGACACAAAAAAGGGUUUACUAUGCUGGAAAUAAAAUGGAGGCAAGAAGCUAUGUUUUAAUAACACACAGCAGCCCUCUUUCAGAAACUGACAUAUAUUAAAUAGGUUUUGAACGUAACUGAAAAUCAACUGUUUAUCUCUAGUUCUUUUUUAAUUAUUAUUUUCACAUAAUUUAGCUGGCAAAUGCUUUCAGAUCAUUUUUCUGUAGAGAGAAAAUGUCCACAUAUAUGAUAUAUGUUUACUACCAUCACUGGGAUGUUCAGAUUCAUGAGUAGCUUGUGGGAAUUUAACUGAGCAGAGUGUCACACCACUGAUGAUCCUAGCAGUGCAAGGUCACUUGCUGCUGGCCAGGGUCUUUAAUUAAACCGUUCUGCCUUCUAAGAAACCUCUGGAAACACAAUGUUUGAAAGAGAAAUUCAUUGUAUUCUCUUUCAGAUGAACAAGUGGUUUUCAGGAGCAGAAAAUAGUAUCAUCAGCUAUAUAAACUAUUUGUACUAAGUUUGGACUCAUGUAAACCUCCUCCAUUCAAUUUACCUUAUACCUUAAAAGGUGCUUCCUCUUCUGGGGAUUUUCAAAGUAGACUGAAGAACAACAAGG
RNAcentral lists this long non-coding RNA (982 nucleotides) under Coturnix japonica (Japanese quail). RNAcentral's name for it is "lncRNA (ENSCJPG00005016464.1)". Lineage: Eukaryota; Metazoa; Chordata; Aves; Galliformes; Phasianidae. The record is from RNAcentral.